RNAcentral lists this ribosomal RNA (253 nucleotides) under uncultured prokaryote. RNAcentral describes it as "partial 16S ribosomal RNA". It matches the Rfam family "Bacterial small subunit ribosomal RNA", at positions 525 to 777 of the family's 1533-position model. The record is from RNAcentral.
ACGAAGGGGACUAGCGUUGUUCGGAAUCACUGGGCGUAAAGAGCGAGUAGGUGGUAGAAUAAGUCAGAUGUGAAAUCCUUAAUCUUAAGUUAAGAAUGGCAUUUGAAACUGUGAUACUAGAGGACAGAAGGGGAUAGUGGAAUUCCCAGUGUAGGAGUGAAAUCCGUAGAUAUUGGGAGGAACACCGAUGGCGUAGGCAGGGUACUGGGCUGUUGCUGACACUAAGGCACGAAAGCGUGGGGAGCGAACGGGA